Molecule: transfer RNA, 88 nt
Filed under: Acidobacteriota bacterium
Lineage: Bacteria; Pseudomonadati; Acidobacteriota
Description: Acidobacteria bacterium (sediment metagenome) tRNA-Ser
Rfam family: tRNA
About the family: Transfer RNA (tRNA) molecules are approximately 80 nucleotides in length. Their secondary structure includes four short double-helical elements and three loops (D, anti-codon, and T loops).
Source: RNAcentral
GGAGGGGUGGCCGAGCGGUCGAAGGCAGCGGUCUUGAAAACCGCCAACGCGUCAGCGUUCAAGGGUUCGAAUCCCUUCCCCUCCGCCA